RNAcentral lists this ribosomal RNA (442 nucleotides) under uncultured bacterium. Its description in RNAcentral is "partial 16S ribosomal RNA". It matches the Rfam family "Bacterial small subunit ribosomal RNA", at positions 338 to 795 of the family's 1533-position model. The record is from RNAcentral.
CCUACGGGAGGCAGCAGUAGGGAAUCCUUCACAAUGGGCGAAAGCCUGAUGGAGCAACGCCGCGUGCAGGAUGAAGGCCUUCGGGUUGUAAACUGCUUUUAUAAGCGAGAAAUAUGAUGGUAACUUAUGAAUAAGGCUCGGCUAACUACGUGCCAGCAGCCGCGGUCAUACGUAGGAUCCGAGCAUUAUCCGGAGUGACUGGGUGUAAAGAGUUGCGUAGGUGGCAUAAUAAGUAGCUAGUGAAAUCUGGUGGCUCAACCAUUCAGACUAUUAGCUAAACUGUUAAGCUCGAGACCGUUAGGGGUAACUGGAAUUUCUAGUGUAGGAGUGAAAUCCGUAGAUAUUAGAAGGAACACCAAUAGCGUAGGCAGGUUGCUGGGACGGGUCUGACACUAAGGCACGAAAGCGUAGGGAGCAAACGGGAUUAGAUACCCGGGUAGUC